This 253-nucleotide ribosomal RNA is filed under the name uncultured bacterium. Its description in RNAcentral is "partial 16S ribosomal RNA". It matches the Rfam family "Bacterial small subunit ribosomal RNA", at positions 524 to 776 of the family's 1533-position model. The record is from RNAcentral. RNAcentral also lists the same sequence under 1 other name.
UACGUAGGCAGCAAGCGUUGUUCGGAAUUACUGGGCGUAAAGAGUGUGUAGGCGGUGCACUAAGUUUGUCGUGAAAUCUCCCGGCUUAACUGGGAGGGUGCGGCGAAUACUGGUGUGCUCGAGGGUGGGAGAGGUAAGCGGAAUUCCUGGUGUAGCGGUGAAAUGCGUAGAUAUCAGGAGGAACACCUGUGGUGUAGACAGCUUACUGGACCAUUUCUGACGCUGAGACACGAAAGCGUGGGUAGCAAACAGG